AACGUAGGACACAAGCGUUGUUCGGAAUUACUGGGCGUAAAGGGCUCGUAGGCGGCCAACUAAGUCAGACGUGAAAUCCCUCAGCUUAACUGGGGAACUGCGUCUGAUACUGGAUGGCUUGGAUUUGGGAGAGGGAUGCGGAAUUCCAGGUGUAGCGGUGAAAUGCGUAGAUAUCUGGAGGAACACCGGUGGCGAAGGCGGCAUCCUGGACCAAUAUUGACGCUGAGGAGCGAAAGCCAGGGGAGCAAACGGG
This 253-nucleotide ribosomal RNA is filed under the name uncultured bacterium. Its description in RNAcentral is "partial 16S ribosomal RNA". It matches the Rfam family "Bacterial small subunit ribosomal RNA", at positions 524 to 776 of the family's 1533-position model. The record is from RNAcentral.